RNAcentral lists this small RNA (99 nucleotides) under Shewanella mangrovi. Lineage: Bacteria; Pseudomonadati; Pseudomonadota; Gammaproteobacteria; Alteromonadales; Shewanellaceae. The record is from RNAcentral.
AGAGAUAGCAAUCCUGUCACAUCUCGACUUAAGCGCACGGCUCUUUAUGAGCCAUUCCCCUGGGCCCAGAACAUUGGAAAUAGUUUUGGGCCUUUUUUU